Molecule: ribosomal RNA, 464 nt
Filed under: uncultured bacterium
Lineage: Bacteria
Description: partial 16S ribosomal RNA
Rfam family: Bacterial small subunit ribosomal RNA
Source: RNAcentral
GACGAACGCUGGCGGCGUGCUUAACACAUGCAAGUCGAACAGAAAGGCCCUGCUUGCCGGGUACUCGAGUGGCGAACGGGUGAGUAACACGUGGGUGAUCUGCCCUGCACUUCGGGAUAAGCCUGGGAAACUGGGUCUAAUACCGGAUAGGAGCCAUUUUUAGUGUGAUGGUUGGAAAGUUUUUUCGGUGUAGGAUGAGCUCGCGGCCUAUCAGCUUGUUGGUGGGGUAAUGGCCUACCAAGGCGGCGACGGGUAGCCGGCCUGAGAGGGUGGACGGCCACAUUGGGACUGAGAUACGGCCCAGACUCCUACGGGAGGCAGCAGUGGGGAAUAUUGCACAAUGGGCGCAAGCCUGAUGCAGCGACGCCGCGUGGGGGAUGACGGCCUUCGGGUUGUAAACUCCUUUCGCUAGGGACGAAGCUUUUUGUGACGGUACCUAGAUAAGAAGCACCGGCUAACUACGU